This 572-nucleotide ribosomal RNA is filed under the name Escherichia coli. RNAcentral's name for it is "partial 23S ribosomal RNA". It matches the Rfam family "Bacterial large subunit ribosomal RNA", at positions 1917 to 2488 of the family's 2925-position model. Lineage: Bacteria; Pseudomonadati; Pseudomonadota; Gammaproteobacteria; Enterobacterales; Enterobacteriaceae. The record is from RNAcentral.
GCCCCGGUAAACGGCGGCCGUAACUAUAACGGUCCUAAGGUAGCGAAAUUCCUUGUCGGGUAAGUUCCGACCUGCACGAAUGGCGUAAUGAUGGCCAGGCUGUCUCCACCCGAGACUCAGUGAAAUUGAACUCGCUGUGAAGAUGCAGUGUACCCGCGGCAAGACGGAAAGACCCCGUGAACCUUUACUAUAGCUUGACACUGAACAUUGAGCCUUGAUGUGUAGGAUAGGUGGGAGGCUUUGAAGUGUGGACGCCAGUCUGCAUGGAGCCGACCUUGAAAUACCACCCUUUAAUGUUUGAUGUUCUAACGUUGGCCCGUAAUCCGGGUUGCGGACAGUGUCUGGUGGGUAGUUUGACUGGGGCGGUCUCCUCCUAAAGAGUAACGGAGGAGCACGAAGGUUGGCUAAUCCUGGUCGGACAUCAGGAGGUUAGUGCAAUGGCAUAAGCCAGCUUGACUGCGAGCGUGACGGCGCGAGCAGGUGCGAAAGCAGGUCAUAGUGAUCCGGUGGUUCUGAAUGGAAGGGCCAUCGCUCAACGGAUAAAAGGUACUCCGGGGAUAACAGGCUGAUAC